AGGGACACCCCCAAUAAAUCAAUCUCACUCGAUUUGGAAGUUAAAAAGGAAAAGUUUAACAAUAACUUAGAAAAAGGGAUUGGAGGUAGGGACACCCCCAAUAAAUCAAUCUCACUCGAUUUGGAAGUUAAAAAGGAAAAGUUUAACAAUAACUUAGAAAAAGGGAUUGGAGGUAGGGGAGUUUACAAAGGAUAAGGAAGGGAAAACAGCAAAAUACAAAACAGGGAUGGAUACAA
Molecule: long non-coding RNA, 236 nt
Organism: Pogoniulus pusillus (Red-fronted tinkerbird)
Lineage: Eukaryota; Metazoa; Chordata; Aves; Piciformes; Lybiidae
Exons: 2
Source: RefSeq, a predicted model, not a curated record